UACGGAGGGGGCUAGCGUUGUUCGGAAUUACUGGGCGUAAAGCGCGCGUAGGCGGACUGGAAAGUUGGGGGUGAAAUCCCGGGGCUCAACCCCGGAACUGCCUUCAAAACUAUCAGUCUGGAGUCCGAGAGAGGUGAGUGGAAUUCCGAGUGUAGAGGUGAAAUUCGUAGAUAUUCGGAGGAACACCAGUGGCGAAGGCGGCUCACUGGCUCGGUACUGACGCUGAGGUGCGAAAGCGUGGGGAGCAAACAGG
This 253-nucleotide ribosomal RNA is filed under the name uncultured bacterium. RNAcentral's name for it is "partial 16S ribosomal RNA". It matches the Rfam family "Bacterial small subunit ribosomal RNA", at positions 524 to 776 of the family's 1533-position model. The record is from RNAcentral.